GCGGCUGUGGUGAAAUUGGUAUACACGCGGCGUUCAGGUCGCCGUGCCCUUACGGGCGUGGAGGUUCGAGUCCUCUCAGCCGCA
RNAcentral lists this transfer RNA (84 nucleotides) under Solirubrobacterales bacterium. RNAcentral describes it as "tRNA-Leu". It matches the Rfam family "tRNA". Rfam says of the family: Transfer RNA (tRNA) molecules are approximately 80 nucleotides in length. Their secondary structure includes four short double-helical elements and three loops (D, anti-codon, and T loops). Further hydrogen bonds mediate the characteristic L-shaped molecular structure. tRNAs have two regions of fundamental functional importance: the anti-codon, which is responsible for specific mRNA codon recognition, and the 3' end, to which the tRNAs corresponding amino acid is attached (by aminoacyl-tRNA synthetases). tRNAs cope with the degeneracy of the genetic code in two manners: having more than one tRNA (with a specific anti-codon) for a particular amino acid; and 'wobble' base-pairing, i.e. permitting non-standard base-pairing at the 3rd anti-codon position. The record is from RNAcentral. RNAcentral also lists the same sequence under 2 other names. Lineage: Bacteria; Bacillati; Actinomycetota; Thermoleophilia; Solirubrobacterales.